Molecule: ribosomal RNA, 1470 nt
Filed under: metagenome
Description: bacterial SSU rRNA
Rfam family: Bacterial small subunit ribosomal RNA
Source: RNAcentral
AGAGUUUGAUCAUGGCUCAGGACGAACGCUGGCGGCACGCUUAACACAUGCAAGUCGAACGAGAGAAGAGGAGCUUGCUUUUCUGAUCUAGUGGCGGACGGGUGAGUAACACGUGAGCAAUCUGCCUUCCAGAGGGGGAUACCGAUUGGAAACGAUCGUUAAUACCGCAUAACAUAAUUGAACAGCAUGAUUUGAUUAUCAAAGAUUUAUCGCUGAAAGAUGAGCUCGCGUCUGAUUAGCUAGUUGGUAAGGUAACGGCUUACCAAGGCGACGAUCAGUAGCCGGACUGAGAGGUUGAUCGGCCACAUUGGGACUGAGACACGGCCCAGACUCCUACGGGAGGCAGCAGUGGGGAAUAUUGCACAAUGGAGGAAACUCUGAUGCAGCGAUGCCGCGUGAGGGAAGAAGGUUUUAGGAUUGUAAACCUCUGUCUUCAGGGACGAAAAAAGACGGUACCUGAGGAGGAAGCUCCGGCUAACUACGUGCCAGCAGCCGCGGUAAUACGUAGGGAGCGAGCGUUGUCCGGAAUUACUGGGUGUAAAGGGAGCGUAGGCGGGAUCGCAAGUCAGAUGUGAAAACUAUGGGCUUAACCCAUAAACUGCAUUUGAAACUGUGGUUCUUGAGUGAAGUAGAGGUAAGCGGAAUUCCUAGUGUAGCGGUGAAAUGCGUAGAUAUUAGGAGGAACAUCAGUGGCGAAGGCGGCUUACUGGGCUUUAACUGACGCUGAGGCUCGAAAGCGUGGGGAGCAAACAGGAUUAGAUACCCUGGUAGUCCACGCCGUAAACGAUGAUUACUAGGUGUGGGGGGACUGACCCCUUCCGUGCCGCAGCAAACGCAAUAAGUAAUCCACCUGGGGAGUACGACCGCAAGGUUGAAACUCAAAGGAAUUGACGGGGGCCCGCACAAGCAGUGGAGUAUGUGGAUUAAUUCGAAGCAACGCGAAGAACCUUACCAGGUCUUGACAUCGUAUGCAUAGCUCAGAGAUGAGUGAAAUCUCUUCGGAGACAUAUAGACAGGUGGUGCAUGGUUGUCGUCAGCUCGUGUCGUGAGAUGUUGGGUUAAGUCCCGCAACGAGCGCAACCCUUACUGUUAGUUGCUACGCAAGAGCACUCUAGCAGGACUGCCGUUGACAAAACGGAGGAAGGUGGGGAUGACGUCAAAUCAUCAUGCCCCUUAUGACCUGGGCCUCACACGUACUACAAUGGCUGUCAACAGAGGGAAGCAAAGCCGCGAGGUGGAGCGAACCCCUAAAAGCAGUCUUAGUUCGGAUUGUAGGCUGCAACCCGCCUACAUGAAGUCGGAAUUGCUAGUAAUCGCAGAUCAGCAUGCUGCGGUGAAUACGUUCCCGGGCCUUGUACACACCGCCCGUCACGCCAUGGGAGUCGGUAACACCCGAAGCCUGUAGUCUAACCGCAAGGAGGACGCAGUCGAAGGUGGGAUUGAUGACUGGGGUGAAGUCGUAACAAGGUA